CGCGUCGGUCCGCCGACGCGUCGUCGCGACGCCCUUAGCGCGGCCACCGUCGCCGUCCACCGUCGUCGCGUCGUCCGGAUAAUUCGCGAUACGACGCGCGGCCGAUCCGCGAGAAAACGCCUUAUAUGCACACGCGUAUGCAACGUUUCGCGGCGCGGCGCGGAGCCCUCCGUGCCCCGUACUACGUGUGAUGUGUCGUCGCGACGCGUGGCCGUGCAUGCGUGUGCGCGGUCGGCGACGCGAGGAAACUGGGUCGCGUGCUCGUUUUCUCUCCUUUUCUUUCUCUCUCUUUCUCUCUCUCUCUCUCUCUCUCUCUCGUUCUCUCGCUCUCCCUCUUUCUCUUCGCGAUCGUAAUUCAUGAAGCGUCGUCGACGCCGGCGACCGACGACGGUGGCCGCGCGAGAAACCGGUCGAUUUCGGAGCCCGCCGCCGCGGGCUUCCUCGUCGCCUACGCGCGACGCUACUGCGCAAUUCAGCGUACGCACGUCGCCGCCGAAAGAGCGGUCGUCGUCCGCGAUUUUCGUGCUCGAGUCGCUCCCUCGAGCGAUCCGCGAGAAAUUUCAUGCGCUAUUCCACGCCGAGUAAUCGGAAACUAUUUUUGAGAUAAAUUGCUUUUCGCAUGUUGAUCUACUUGUCUGCCACCUCGGUUAGUUAAAUAGAAAGAGAAAUAAUUGAGAUUUGCAGACGAAGGCGUCGAGGUAACGGCACCUUUUAACGAAUCCGCAAUAUUUUCUUCACGUUCCUUGGAAACAUGGUUCGCAAUCUCGCGAAUACGAGCGAGGGAAUUACGAUUGUACGUGAUCGUCGUUGUCCUUCGUUGCACUUCUUCGAGGUAUUGAUGAUGCGCACGCUACCUGAAACGCUUCGAUGACCGAGUGAAUAGUGCGACUUAUAUCUUCUCCUCUCGACGGUAUCUCGACUAUAUUUGAGAUCCAAAUGUAUGACUAUUUGCUCUAUUAAUUUCCAUAAGAUAUAUAUCGCGUUGUCUCACAAUUAAUUAUCU
Molecule: long non-coding RNA, 1003 nt
Organism: Camponotus floridanus (Florida carpenter ant)
Lineage: Eukaryota; Metazoa; Arthropoda; Insecta; Hymenoptera; Formicidae
Exons: 3
Source: RefSeq, a predicted model, not a curated record